GCCUCAGUGGCUUAGCCUGGUAUAGCACAGAAGAAAUUCGCUAAGUUGCUUGGUAAGUUGGUCCGAAGAGCAAGAGGUCCCGCGUUCAAAUCGCGGCUGAGGCU
This 104-nucleotide transfer RNA is filed under the name bacterium. Its description in RNAcentral is "tRNA-OTHER". The record is from RNAcentral.